UUCCAUUAUAGCUCAAGACUGGUGGAAGGUUGGUUAAACCGUUUGGUUUUCGCCCACUACGACCCGGGUUCGAUUCCCGCAUUGGACA
RNAcentral lists this transfer RNA (88 nucleotides) under Cordylochernes scorpioides. RNAcentral's name for it is "tRNA-Glu". The record is from RNAcentral. Lineage: Eukaryota; Metazoa; Arthropoda; Arachnida; Pseudoscorpiones; Chernetidae.